This 554-nucleotide ribosomal RNA is filed under the name Escherichia coli. Its description in RNAcentral is "partial 23S ribosomal RNA". It matches the Rfam family "Bacterial large subunit ribosomal RNA", at positions 165 to 761 of the family's 2925-position model. Lineage: Bacteria; Pseudomonadati; Pseudomonadota; Gammaproteobacteria; Enterobacterales; Enterobacteriaceae. The record is from RNAcentral.
CAUAGGUUAAUGAGGCGAACCGGGGGAACUGAAACAUCUAAGUACCCCGAGGAAAAGAAAUCAACCGAGAUUCCCCCAGUAGCGGCGAGCGAACGGGGAGGAGCCCAGAGCCUGAAUCAGUGUGUGUGUUAGUGGAAGCGUCUGGAAAGGCGCGCGAUACAGGGUGACAGCCCCGUACACAAAAAUGCACAUAUUGUGAGCUCGAUGAGUAGGGCGGGACACGUGGUAUCCUGUCUGAAUAUGGGGGGACCAUCCUCCAAGGCUAAAUACUCCUGACUGACCGAUAGUGAACCAGUACCGUGAGGGAAAGGCGAAAAGAACCCCGGCGAGGGGAGUGAAAAAGAACCUGAAACCGUGUACGUACAAGCAGUGGGAGCCUCUUAAUGGGGUGACUGCGUACCUUUUGUAUAAUGGGUCAGCGACUUAUAUUCUGUAGCAAGGUUAACCGAAUAGGGGAGCCGAAGGGAAACCGAGUCUUAACUGGGCGUUAAGUUGCAGGGUAUAGACCCGAAACCCGGUGAUCUAGCCAUGGGCAGGUUGAAGGUUGGGUAACA